Molecule: non-coding RNA, 1028 nt
Organism: Phalacrocorax carbo (great cormorant)
Lineage: Eukaryota; Metazoa; Chordata; Aves; Suliformes; Phalacrocoracidae
Source: RefSeq, a predicted model, not a curated record
UUAACCUUGGUUUGCAUUUCCUUAGGUCUGUGGCUUGAAUAACUUUGAAGUAAUAUUUACAUUAAGUCCUUGGAAGCAGUCAAACCUCUGUCUUUCUAAUUAUUAGUAGGAAAUGAAAUCAGCUCCUUUACUCCACUGCUGUUCUCAGAAGGGUGUCUCUCUGCUUUUCCUGGAAGGUACAGAAGUCCUGUGGACUUCAGUGGCUGGUCCAGGCAUCCCAGCAGGCUGUGUUCUAGUAACACCUAUGUCUGAGAAGGACUUGGGAGCCUCUUCCUAUGAGGACCUCUAAACAUUUUAAAAGCCAAAACAAAUGCACAUGGAACUGCACUUUUGACUGCUGAAUGCAUCAAACCAGCCUACCAGCCUCAGCAGAAAUAAGAAAGUAAUGGAAGUGGUCAACUCACAGAGAUGAAAGGCGAAAGAAAGGGUGUUUCUGGUUGGCAGAUGCUUCCAAGCAUAUUGCCUAUCCAAAAUUCCCAUGGGAAUGAGGGCAAAGCAGCUAACAUUGGCAGGGGAAGGAGGGGUGAGCAUCGCAAGAUCCCCAGCAAAGAGAAAAGACCACUCUGAGCUCAGGUACUUUGGAUACAUCACUGGCAGCAGCUCUGUAAGGCCCAACUGUUCACAAGCACCUGCUUGAUGCAUGAAGUGGUGACACCCCUGUGUUUCAGCAUUUUAAAUAAACACGUAUAUGAACUGUUCUCACCUGGCUUGUUUUCACGCAGCAACAGAGAGAGGAAGCACUUGUUGGUUGGCAGUGGAAAGGUAGGGCAGGGGCAAAUUUAAAACUGGCAGGGAAGGCAGAACAGACCACGUAAAAAAAUUUUAUCAGCCAAGGAAAAAUAAAUAUUAAAAAAAAAAAUUAAACUAGCCUAUAUCUUAAAUUUUGGGUCAGUUUUCUUUCGCACGUGUACUACAUUACCUUUGAAAGGCUUUUCACUAAAUCUAUCUAUACUUGGUUCUUUUUCACACUUCUGUAAAUUCAGAACAGUUGUGGUGUUUUGGGUUUUUCCCAUGUGCUUUAAGGGUUG